GAGUUUGAUCCUGGCUCAGGACGAACGCUGGCGGCGUGCCUAACACAUGCAAGUCGAACGGGGUAUGAAUAAUACCUAGUGGCGAACGGGUGAGUAACGCGUGAGCAACCUGACCUUUUGAGGGGGAUAACAACCGGAAACGGUUGCUAAUACCGCAUAAGACCACAGAGCCGCAUGGCUUAGAGGUCAAAGGAGUAAUCCGCAGAAGGAGGGGCUCGCGUCCCAUUAGAUAGUUGGUGAGGUAACGGCCCACCAAGUCAGCGAUGGGUAGCCGAGCUGAGAGGCUGAUCGGCCACACUGGAACUGAGACACGGUCCAGACUCCUACGGGAGGCAGCAGUGGGGAAUAUUGGGCAAUGGGGGAAACCCUGACCCAGCAACGCCGCGUGAGUGAAGAAGGCCUUCGGGUUGUAAAGCUCUGUCGCAGGGGACGAAAAAAAUGACGGUACCCUGUGAGGAAGCCCCGGCUAACUACGUGCCAGCAGCCGCGGUAAUACGUAGGGGGCGAGCGUUGUCCGGAAUUACUGGGCGUAAAGGGUGCGUAGGUGGCUUGUUAAGUUGGAUGUGAAAUCCCCGGGCUCAACUUGGGUGGUGCAUUCAAAACUGGCGAGCUAGAGUGCAGGAGAGGGAAGCGGAAUUCCUAGUGUAGCGGUGAAAUGCGUAGAUAUUAGGAGGAACACCAGUGGCGAAGGCGGCUUUCUGGACUGUAACUGACACUGAGGCACGAAAGCGUGGGGAGCAAACAGGAUUAGAUACCCUGGUAGUCCACGCUGUAAACGAUGAAUACUAGGUGUAAGGGGGUAUGAACUCCCCCUGUGCCGCAGCUAACGCAAUAAGUAUUCCGCCUGGGGAGUACGGCCGCAAGGUUGAAAC
RNAcentral lists this ribosomal RNA (872 nucleotides) under bacterium enrichment culture clone PCP84. RNAcentral describes it as "bacterial SSU rRNA". It matches the Rfam family "Bacterial small subunit ribosomal RNA", at positions 9 to 900 of the family's 1533-position model. The record is from RNAcentral.